Molecule: non-coding RNA, 1224 nt
Organism: Schizosaccharomyces pombe (fission yeast)
Lineage: Eukaryota; Fungi; Ascomycota; Schizosaccharomycetes; Schizosaccharomycetales; Schizosaccharomycetaceae
Source: the annotation of a GenBank genome assembly
GAGGAAGUAGCCAAACAUCAGAUUCCUUUAAAUAGUUAGUGUAACCAAAUUUUAUGAAAGAACUGAUCCAAGAAAAUGAUAACUUUGAGAAUAUGUUCGCAUAUCGAACUUCAGAAGGUCUUAUCCCCUUCUCUUCAACUUCGUUUGUAUCAUCAGAAUACCAGACACGAUUGCAAGGCGGGACAUAAACCUCACUAAUAAAGCAUACGAGCGAGCAGAACAGAGUAAUUAAAGUAAGCAACCGAGCCAUACUGGUAAUUGCAAUAUAGGGACUGAACAACAAAAUCAAAAGUGAGGUAACUACUUUCAGAAGCCAAAAUAUCAAUAGAGAAGCCAUGGGAACUCUUAGAGUUGAUUGCUCAGCAAACUGUAAAAAUAAUACGAAACAAUAAGUUACAACUGAAAAAAAAUUCCACCCGAUGUUUUUUGUCUUAUAUCCCACAUAUAUUUGUGUAAUAAUAACAAGUGCUAUCGAAAAGAACUUCAUCCAGAUGGUCCAAAAUUGCGAAAAGUGAGGACGAAAGAUCCGUCUCCUAACGUCAAAAACAUAUUGUAAGCCCCCGCUAACUAAAGCGAAUAAAUUUGGGAUAAGCAAAACCAGAGACAAGCCUUUGUUUGCGGUGAUCAUUACAUGUAUACUUAUCCAAAUACUUUAUUAAAAGCGAUGCUUAAGUCUUUCUAUACAGGGCUAAGUAGAGUAAUCGGAGCGCUAUGUAGGAUUCAAAAUAAAGUUAAUGUUAGGAUAUCAGAUCACCAUCUAUAAAAGUGUUGGUAGUUGACUAAUAACGUUUGCGCUGAAUCUCAUUAUGUUGCUUAAUAACAUCUGAUAAAUUAAUCGGAGUUAAAUAUUCUUGAACUCGGAGUUUAGAUUCGACACCGGUCAAGUGUCUUCAGUCCAUUAGGAAGGGCAAGCAAACCUCUAAUUCACUGUUGUAGAUGUGUUCUGUAAUCAAUAAAAGAGAAGACCUUGAAAGAAUACCUACUGAGAUUUUUUCAUAUUUUGUAGUUUUAUGAAACGAUAUCAUUUUAGAAAUAUCAAACUUUUAGAUAUAAACUAUAGUUAUGAUUCUCGUCUUAUAAACGCACCUGGAUGUCUAGCGUUCCAUCUAAAGUGAAACUUUGCGCAUCUUAGCAAUGUUUAUCACGUUAAAAAUUUCGAAGUUAAUAAAACAGAAAAACUCGUCUAUAGUACUUUCUCUAGUUUCAAUAAUACUUUAUGUCAAC